Molecule: ribosomal RNA, 254 nt
Filed under: uncultured bacterium
Lineage: Bacteria
Description: partial 16S ribosomal RNA
Rfam family: Bacterial small subunit ribosomal RNA
Source: RNAcentral
GACGUAGGGCGCGAGCGUUGUCCGGAUUUAUUGGGCGUAAAGAGCUCGUAGGCGGUUCGGCAAGUCGAAUGUGAAAUCUCCACGCUCAACGUGGAGGGGUCAUUCGAUACUGCCGUGACUCGAGUCCGGUAGGGGAGUGUGGAAUUCCCGGUGUAGCGGUGAAAUGCGCAGAGAUCGGGAGGAACACCCGUAGCGAAGGCGGCACUCUGGGCCGGUACUGACGCUGAGGAGCGAAAGCGUGGGGAGCAAACAGG